This is a non-coding RNA of Octodon degus (degu), 384 nucleotides long. The record is from the annotation of a RefSeq genome assembly. NCBI's taxonomy places the organism in Eukaryota, Metazoa, Chordata, Mammalia, Rodentia, Octodontidae.
GGACACAGCAUGGUCAUGAGGGUCCCUGUGCAGCUCCUGGGGCUCCUGCUGCUCUGGCUGCCAGGUGGCAGAUGUGACAUCCAGUUGACGCAGUCUCCAUUUGUGUUGGCUUCUUUGGGAGAGAGACUCACCAUCACGUGUCGAGCCAGCCAGGGCAUUAGCAAGAGUUUACAUUGGUAUCAGCAGAGAGCAGGGCAAGCUCCCAAACUCCUGAUCGGUUAUGCAACCACUGUGCAGUCUGGGGUCCCAGCCAGGUUCAGCGGCAGUAGGUCUGGGACGGAUUUCACUCUCGCCAUCAGCAGCCUGGAGCCUGAAGAUGCCUCCACUUAUUACUGUCAACACAGUAAAAUUUGGUCCCUCACAGUGAUAAAAGCCGUGACAUAA